GGGUAUACCAAUUCAAUUCUGUAGAACUAAGAAAUCAAAUCCUUAUCAGGCCAAAUAGAACUAAGAACAUUCAUUCAUCCCUGAAGAAAUAUAAAAAUGAGGCCUUCCUUCAUAUACCAUGUAAAUGACACCCUCGAGUCUAAAAUGAUAUUUCUAAUUACCAAAUGGCCGAUUACCUGUGAUAGGCCCACCGAGGCUUGGUUCGACACAUGCUAAUACAUCAUGGAUAUUAACAAAAUAACAGCCUCCAAUAAGCAAAAUUCCAAAAAUAAAUUGAAACUGUAGCAGCAUGGGAUAGCAAAAUAGCUCGACUGAAGUGAAGACCAAGGAAAUAACCAAGACAUGGGAAUAAAAAUUUAGUUCAAAGAAAACUCUAAUAUACUCAACAAUUUAAUAAACAACAAAGGUUUAAAAAUUCCUGAGUGAGAUUAAUAAGGCAGCAAAAAAUAAUAAUGUUCAUCCAGCUUCUAAACAAACAAUAAUAACUCUCUCAAAACUAAAAAGCACAUAACAAGUUUAAACUUGGCUUACAAAACAAGUAACACAGAUCGCUCCAAGUCAACAAUGAACUCAAUCUGCCAUCUUGUGACACUCAUAUGUUGCUGGGGUACAUGAAGACUCUAACCCUAUCUCCCAUUGAUUUUGGGGGCAGAUUGGACUUGAACUUAGCUCGUACAACACCACUGUUACCAUGAGGCCUGGUGACCUUGCCCCAAAUGCAGCGAUAGUGUGAUCCAUUCUUCUUUACCUUAGCCUUGUAUAUAUAAGCCAUGCGCUUUCCAGCAUACCAGGCAACCUCUUCCUUGGUAUUCACUCCUUCAAUCUGGAUUAAUGACGUGUUUGGAUACUGGUUUGACUUGGACCUCUUGUAUCCGAGGAUGGUCCCUCUGACGUAGAGUCUAGAAACGAAAAGAUCAAAGGAAGGAGAAAUUAAAGCAAAAAUUAGUUCAUAGCUGGAGAUUUGAGCUCCAAAAAUAAAAAAUUCAGAGCGCAGAUUUUAGAGAAAUGAAAAUGAUAGAGAGAUCAAUGAAAGACCUGACUCGCUCUCCUUGGCGUCCCUUCACCAUUUUCGGCCAAGCCCUCUUCUCUCUCGCUGAAAGUGGCUACGCUUGAGCAGCUGCG
Molecule: unclassified non-coding RNA, 1122 nt
Filed under: Hevea brasiliensis (rubber tree)
Lineage: Eukaryota; Viridiplantae; Streptophyta; Magnoliopsida; Malpighiales; Euphorbiaceae
Source: RNAcentral